RNAcentral lists this ribosomal RNA (516 nucleotides) under bacterium symbiont of Megymenum gracilicorne. Its description in RNAcentral is "bacterial SSU rRNA". It matches the Rfam family "Bacterial small subunit ribosomal RNA", at positions 527 to 1041 of the family's 1533-position model. The record is from RNAcentral.
GUAGGGUGCGAGCGUUGUCCGGAAUUAUUGGGCGUAAAGAGCUCGUAGGCGGUGUGUCGCGUCGGCCGUGAAAACUUGGGGCUUAACUCUGAGCGUGCGGUCGAUACGGGCAUCACUUGAGUUCGGCAGGGGAGACUGGAAUUCCUGGUGUAGCGGUGAAAUGCGCAGAUAUCAGGAGGAACACCGGUGGCGAAGGCGGGUCUCUGGGCCGAUACUGACGCUGAGGAGCGAAAGCGUGGGGAGCGAACAGGAUUAGAUACCCUGGUAGUCCACGCCGUAAACGUUGGGCGCUAGGUGUGGGGACCAUUCCACGGUUUCUGUGCCGCAGCUAACGCAUUAAGCGCCCCGCCUGGGGAGUACGGCCGCAAGGCUAAAACUCAAAGGAAUUGACGGGGGCCCGCACAAGCGGCGGAGCAUGUGGAUUAAUUCGAUGCAACGCGAAGAACCUUACCUGGGUUUGACAUGCACCAGACAUCCCUAGAGAUAGGGCUUCCCUUGUGGUUGGUGUGCAGGUGG